Molecule: ribosomal RNA, 468 nt
Filed under: uncultured bacterium
Lineage: Bacteria
Description: partial 16S ribosomal RNA
Rfam family: Bacterial small subunit ribosomal RNA
Source: RNAcentral
GACGAACGCUGGCGGCGUGCUUAACACAUGCUAGUCGAACGGAAAGGCCCUGCUUUUGUGGGGUGCUCGAGUGGCGAACGGGUGAGUAACACGUGAGUAACCUGCCCUUGACUUUGGGAUAACUUCAGGAAACUGGGGCUAAUACCGGAUAGGAGCUCCUGCUGCAUGGUGGGGGUUGGAAAGUUUCGGCGGUUGGGGAUGGACUCGCGGCUUAUCAGCUUGUUGGUGGGGUAGUGGCUUACCAAGGCUUUGACGGGUAGCCGGCAUGAGAGGGUGACCGGCCACAUUGGGACUGAGGAACGCACCAGACUCCAACGGGAGGCAGCAGUGGGGAAUAGUGCACAAUGGGCGGACGCCUGAUGUAGCAACGUCGCGUGCGGGAUGACGGCCUUCGGGUGGUAAACCGCCUUCGCCUGUGACGAAGCGUGAGUGACGGUAAUGGGUAAAGAAGCACCGGCUAACUACGUG